GGCACAAACUUGAAGUAAAUUAGUUUACCAGGGUCAGCCGAACCUACUAAACCACUUUACUUCAAGUUUGUGUCC
Non-coding RNA from Haemonchus contortus (barber pole worm), 75 nucleotides. Lineage: Eukaryota; Metazoa; Nematoda; Chromadorea; Rhabditida; Trichostrongylidae. The record is from Rfam.